GUGGUUAAGUUACUAAGGGCACACGGUGGAUGCCUUGGCGCUAGGAGCCGAAGAAGGACGCAGCGAACUGCGAUAAGCCUCGGGGAGCGGUAAGCACGCUUUGAUCCGGGGAUCUCCGAAUGGGGAAACCCACCAUCUGUAAUGGGAUGGUAUCCGUAUCUGAAUACAUAGGAUACGAGAAGGCAGACCCGGUGAACUGAAACAUCUAAGUAGCCGGAGGAAGAGAAAACAAUAGUGAUUCCGUCAGUAGUGGCGAGCGAACGCGGAAGAGCCUAAACCGUCGGGUUUACCCGGCGGGGUUGUGGGGCGUCUCACAUGGAGUUACAAAAGACGCGCGUAGGUGAACAGCUUGGGAAAGCUGACCAUAGAGCGUGAUAGUCGCGUAACCUAAACGCGCGUCUCUCCGAGACCAACCCCGAGUAGCGCGGGACACGUGAAAUCCCGUGUGAAUCUGGCAGGACCAUCUGCUAAGGCUAAAUACUACCUAGCGACCGAUAGUGAACCAGUACCGUGAGGGAAAGGUGAAAAGCACCCCGGGAGGGAGUGAAAUAGUACCUGAAACCGUGUGCUUACAAAUAGUCGGAGCCCGUUAAAAGGUGACGGCGUGCCUUUUGUAGAAUGAACCGGCGAGUUACGGUAGCGUGCG
Molecule: ribosomal RNA, 646 nt
Filed under: Brevibacillus brevis
Lineage: Bacteria; Bacillati; Bacillota; Bacilli; Caryophanales; Paenibacillaceae
Description: bacterial LSU rRNA
Rfam family: Bacterial large subunit ribosomal RNA
Source: RNAcentral